Molecule: ribosomal RNA, 617 nt
Filed under: uncultured Gammaproteobacteria bacterium
Lineage: Bacteria; Pseudomonadati; Pseudomonadota; Gammaproteobacteria
Description: bacterial SSU rRNA
Rfam family: Bacterial small subunit ribosomal RNA
Source: RNAcentral
AUUGAACGCUGGCGGCAGGCCUAACACAUGCAAGUCGAGCGCGAAAAGCUUUCGGGCUGAGUAGAGCGGCGGACGGGUGAGUAACGCGUAGGAAUCUACCUGGUAGUGGGGGACAACUUGGGGAAACUCAAGCUAAUACCGCAUACGCCCUAAGGGGGAAAGCGGGGGACCUUCGGGCCUCGCGCUAUCGGAUGAGCCUGCGUAGGAUUAGCUAGUUGGUGGGGUAAAGGCCCACCAAGGCGACGAUCCUUAGCUGGUCUGAGAGGAUGAUCAGCCACACUGGAACUGAGACACGGUCCAGACUCCUACGGGAGGCAGCAGUGGGGAAUAUUGCGCAAUGGGCGAAAGCCUGACGCAGCCAUGCCGCGUGUGUGAAGAAGGCCUUAGGGUUGUAAAGCACUUUCAAUUGGGAAGAAAAGUUUGUCGUUAAUAGCGGCAAGCUCUGACAUUACCUUUAGAAGAAGCACCGGCUAACUCCGUGCCAGCAGCCGCGGUAAUACGGAGGGUGCGAGCGUUAAUCGGAAUUACUGGGCGUAAAGCGCGCGUAGGCGGUUUGUUAAGUCAGCUGUGAAAGCCCCGGCUCAACCUGGGAACUGCAGUUGAUACUGGCCGACUAG